Molecule: ribosomal RNA, 325 nt
Filed under: uncultured Pseudomonas sp.
Lineage: Bacteria; Pseudomonadati; Pseudomonadota; Gammaproteobacteria; Pseudomonadales; Pseudomonadaceae
Description: bacterial SSU rRNA
Rfam family: Bacterial small subunit ribosomal RNA
Source: RNAcentral
AGCUCGUGUCGUGAGAUGUUGGGUUAAGUCCGUAACGAGCGCAACCCUUGUCCUUAGUUACCAGCACGUUAUGGUGGGCGACUCUAAGGAGACUGCCGGUGACAACCGGAGGAAGGUGGGGAUGACGUCAAGUCAUCAUGGCCCUUACGGCCUGGGCUACACACGUGCUACAAUGGUCGGUACAAAGGGUUGCCAAGCCGCGAGGUGGAGCUAAUCCCAUAAAACCGAUCGUAGUCCGGAUCGCAGUCUGCAACUCGACUGCGUGAAGUCGGAAUCGCUAGUAAUCGUGAAUCAGAAUGUCACGGUGAAUACGUUCCCGGGCCUU